UUUUUAGUUCAACUACAAAGAGUCUUAUUCCUCCCAAUUUUGCUGGUCUGAUACAGCUAUUCUCCUUCCAACCAAUCUCCUCUGCGUCCCUCCUUUUACAAUUACUCUUGCAUUAUUCUUUUAGCUUAAGAAGAAGAAGAAGAAGAAACAGGAGGUUCAUAGCUCAGGGUCAAAGAAGAAGAUGGGUCGUCAUCAUCAUCAACAUGAAGGAAAUAGACCAUAUGAUGAUCCAUUCUUGGCAUGUUGUUGUUGCCCUUGUUUUGUAGUUUCUUCUACUUUCUCUGUGUUAAAGAGGUGUCUCUUUGUAGUAUGUUUCCCUGUUUUGCAGUGCUUUGGAUUGGAUGAACACAGACAUCAACAUCAUCACCACAGACAUUUCUGACAACCCCAAUUUAAAGGAAAAAACUGAUUCUUGAGUAUAGAAUUCAUAGCAAGAUUAUGUUCUGAUUUGCUCAGUUGAAAUAUACACAGGGUUGACAAACUCAGUAUCAGAAACUGCAGAAAGCUCAAUCAGACUAAUUUCAUUCUUCCAAUGGAGCAGAAAUGUCAAGAUUUAUCAUAUUCCCAUCAGUUGUUGAUAAUACUGGUUCUGCUGAAGCAGCAGCAAAUGAAAGACACACACUUGCUGCAAAGAGUUGCAACAAUAACAUGUGAUCUCUUACGCCCACCAAAAGCUUGGCUUGAUGAAGAUACUCUGCAACAAUCAGGAGAUUCAUAUAUUUUUACUUCAUUCCUUUGAGUUUCUUCCUGUUUACACAUCAUAAUAAAAUAAAAUGAGAGUUUCCAUA
Long non-coding RNA from Nicotiana tabacum (common tobacco), 788 nucleotides. RefSeq lists it as uncharacterized. NCBI's taxonomy places the organism in Eukaryota, Viridiplantae, Streptophyta, Magnoliopsida, Solanales, Solanaceae. The record is from RefSeq and is a predicted model, not a curated record.